AUUGAUGAUUUUCAUUCAUAGUUGGGUAGUAGACAAUAUAAUCAAAAUAAAAGUGCAAAAGUUCUUCAAAAUGAUCGUUACUUAAAAGAGUACAUCAAAGUUAAGCUAAGAGACAAAGAAUAGAAUAGACAAGCCUUCAUCCACUUCAAGUUCAUCUUCACUUUCUUCAACCAAUUUUCCAUCCUUUCUAAAGGAGUAGCUAGGGAAAUACCAUUUUUUGUCAAUUAACAUAUAAUCUUUUAUAACAAUCAUCAAAAACUUCACUUUUAUAGAAAUAUCAAAACUCUCAAGAAAACUCAUAUUUAGUGGUCCAUUAUGAUCUAUCAAGUUAGAAUUAUGC
Molecule: long non-coding RNA, 340 nt
Filed under: Medicago truncatula (barrel medic)
Lineage: Eukaryota; Viridiplantae; Streptophyta; Magnoliopsida; Fabales; Fabaceae
Description: long non-coding RNA (MTRU_LNC001648)
Source: RNAcentral